This 325-nucleotide ribosomal RNA is filed under the name uncultured bacterium. RNAcentral's name for it is "bacterial SSU rRNA". It matches the Rfam family "Bacterial small subunit ribosomal RNA", at positions 167 to 507 of the family's 1533-position model. The record is from RNAcentral.
AUUCUGAUAAGUUAAAAUCUGAUUCCUGUUUACUGGCAAAGCGCCGAAAGUCGCGAGAAGAGGAGCCCGCGUCAGAUUAGGUAGUUGGUGGGGUAAAGGCCUACCAAGCCAAUGAUCUGUAGCUGGUCUGAGAGGAUGAUCAGCCACACUGGGACUGAGACACGGCCCAGACUCCUACGGGAGGCAGCAGUGGGGAAUAUUGGACAAUGGGGGAAACCCUGAUCCAGCAAUGCCGCGUGAAUGACGAAGGCCUUAGGGUUGUAAAGUUCUUUCACCUGUGAAGAUAAUGACGGUAGCAGGAGAAGAAGCCCCGGCUAACUCCGUG